RNAcentral lists this ribosomal RNA (468 nucleotides) under uncultured bacterium. RNAcentral's name for it is "partial 16S ribosomal RNA". It matches the Rfam family "Bacterial small subunit ribosomal RNA", at positions 28 to 507 of the family's 1533-position model. The record is from RNAcentral.
GACGAACGCUGGCGGCGUGCCUAAUACAUGCAAGUCGAACGGAAAGGCCCUGCUUUUGUUCGCUGCACGAGUGGCGAACGGGUGAGUAACACGUAAGUAACCUGCCCUUGACCUUGGGAUAACUUUAGGAAACUAUGGCUAAUACCGGAUAGGAGCUCCUGCUGCAUGGUGUGGGCUGGAAAGUUUCGGUGGUUGGGGUAGGACGCGCGGCUUAUUAGCUUGAUGGUGGGGUUGUGGUUUACCAAGGCUUUGACGGGUAGCCGGCCUGAGAGUGUGACCCGCCACAUUGGGACUGAGGUACGGGCCAGACUGCUACGGGAGGAAGCAGUGGGGAAUAGUGCGAGAAGGGCGGAAGCCUUGAGGAGCAACGCCGGGUGGGGGAUGACGGCCUUCGGGGUGGAAACAGCGUUCGCCUGUAACGAAGAGUGAGUGACGGUAAUGUGUAAAGAAGCAACGGCUAACUACGUG